CCUACGGGGGGCAGCAGUAAGGGAUAUUGGUCAAUGGGGGCAACCCUGAACCAGCAACGCCGCGUGAGGGAAGACGGUUUUCGGAUUGUAAACCUCUGUCCUCUGUGAAGAUGAUGACGGUAGCAGAGGAGGCAGCUCCGGCUAACUACGUGCCAGCAGCCGCGGUAAAACGUAGGGAGCGAGCGUUGUCCGGAUUGACUGGGUGUUAAGGGUGCGUAGGCGGCUUGGCAAGUCAGUAGUGAAUUCCAUGGGAUUAACCGAUGACCUGUGAUGGAAACUGUCGAGUUGGAGUGAAGGAGAGGUAGGCGGAAUUCCCGGGGUAGCGGUGAAAUGCGUAGAGAUCGGGAGGAACACCAGUGGCGAAGGCGGCCGACGGGGCGUUAACUGACGCUGAGGCACGAAAGCGUGGGUAGCAAACAGGAUUAGAUACCCUAGUAGUC
This 440-nucleotide ribosomal RNA is filed under the name uncultured bacterium. Its description in RNAcentral is "partial 16S ribosomal RNA". It matches the Rfam family "Bacterial small subunit ribosomal RNA", at positions 338 to 795 of the family's 1533-position model. The record is from RNAcentral.